GACGAACGCUGGCGGCGUGCCUAAUACAUGCAAGUCGAGCGGAGUGAAUAGAAGUGCUUGCACUUCUAUUCACUCAGCGGCGGACGGGUGAGUAACACGUAGGUAACCUGCCUGUAAGACUGGGAUAACUACCGGAAACGGUAGCUAAUACCGGAUAAUUUGUUUCCUCACCUGAGGAGACACUGAAAGGCGGAGCAAUCUGUCACUUAUAGAUGGGCCUGCGGCGCAUUAGCUAGUUGGUGAGGUAACGGCUCACCAAGGCGACGAUGCGUAGCCGACCUGAGAGGGUGAACGGCCAGACUGGGACUGAGACACGGCCCAGACUCCUACGGGAGGCAGCAGUAGGGAAUCUUCCGCAAUGGACGAAAGUCUGACGGAGCAACGCCGCGUGAGUGAUGAAGGUUCUCGGAUCGUAAAGCUCUGUUGCCAGGGAAGAAGAUUUGGGAGAGUAUCUGCUCUCAAAGUGACGGUACCUGAGAAGAAAGCCCCGGCUAACUACGUGCCAGCAGCCGCG
This 514-nucleotide ribosomal RNA is filed under the name uncultured bacterium. Its description in RNAcentral is "bacterial SSU rRNA". It matches the Rfam family "Bacterial small subunit ribosomal RNA", at positions 28 to 519 of the family's 1533-position model. The record is from RNAcentral.